Molecule: transfer RNA, 578 nt
Filed under: Microcoleus vaginatus P0B
Lineage: Bacteria; Bacillati; Cyanobacteriota; Cyanophyceae; Oscillatoriales; Microcoleaceae
Description: partial 16S-23S ribosomal RNA intergenic spacer
Rfam family: tRNA (bases 297-369)
Source: RNAcentral
UUUAGGGAGACCAUCUGAUAGUCGACCGAACCUAAACAAUAGGUCGUUGUCAGUCAUCCCUGGUCGUUCGAGGAAUAGAUGUCAAAGCUUUCAAACUAUUAACUGGUUCGGAACUCGCGGGCUAUUAGCUCAGUUGGUUAGAGCGCACCCCUGAUAAGGGUGAGGUCCCUGGUUCAAAUCCAGGAUGGCCCACCUGGAAAAAAGUGAUGAAUUGUCAGUAAUGAGUAAUGGAUAAUCAAGGAUUAAUUCAGGAUUAAUUCAGGACUCAUACAAUCAAAAUCAGAACUUACAAGUGUGGGGGUAUAGCUCAGUUGGUAGAGCGCCUGCCUUGCACGCAGGAAGUCAGCGGUUCGAGUCCGCUUACCUCCACUCUCACUAACUAUUACCACCGCCAAAAAAACCCAAAAAAAUAGAAAUCAGCACCCAGACUAACUUGGUCAACAAAGAAGUCGGAAUGCUGGAGUCUAGAACUCUAGUCAGAACCUUGAAAACUGCAUAGAAAUUAAGUCAUCAAAGCGUGUCAGUCAUCCGAGAAAUCGGAGUAUCUGACCAGCGACCACCAGAAAAAAUCAAGUGUC